RNAcentral lists this ribosomal RNA (145 nucleotides) under Salmonella enterica subsp. enterica serovar Oranienburg. Its description in RNAcentral is "partial 23S ribosomal RNA". It matches the Rfam family "Bacterial large subunit ribosomal RNA", at positions 1 to 135 of the family's 2925-position model. Lineage: Bacteria; Pseudomonadati; Pseudomonadota; Gammaproteobacteria; Enterobacterales; Enterobacteriaceae. The record is from RNAcentral.
GGGUUGUGAGGUUAAGCGACCAAGCGUACACGGUGGAUGCCCUGGCAGUCAGAGGCGAUGAAGGACGUGCUAAUCUGCGAAAAGCGCCGGUAAGGUGAUAUGAACCGUUAUAACCGGCGAUGUCCGAAUGGGGAAACCCAGUGUG